RNAcentral lists this transfer-messenger RNA (371 nucleotides) under Bacteroidia. Its description in RNAcentral is "CAMBQF01 sp023213195 Standard tmRNA". It matches the Rfam family "transfer-messenger RNA". Rfam says of the family: Bacterial tmRNA, also known as 10Sa RNA or SsrA, is named for its dual tRNA and mRNA-like properties. RNAcentral also lists the same sequence under 1 other name. The record is from RNAcentral. Lineage: Bacteria; Pseudomonadati; Bacteroidota.
GGGGCCGACAUGGUUUUGACAGCAUGCACUUGUUGUGUAAGCACGCCGGGGGUUGCAAGUGUACCCCGUAAAAAUCAACUUAGCAAAACAAAUAACUGGCGAGAAUAACUACGCCAUGGCUGCCUAAUCUCAGAUUAGCAUAGUCAUUGUCGUUUCCUGCAACUCGGCCGGGCUGCGGUAGGAGUAACGGCAUCAUCAAAUGCCCGGUCGUUAACAGGCAAGCUGCGGGCUUGUUGACGUAUUAGCAGAUACGGUUUGUGUUGGCGGGCAACUUGGCCUGCACUUACCCGACAAUUAACAAGAUGAUAAGCGCGUAGAAAGCACAGUAAUUUCUUGUUUGGACGAGGGUUCGAAUCCCUCCGGCUCCACAU